CGAAGGGGGCUAGCGUUGCUCGGAAUCACUGGGCGUAAAGGGCGCGUAGGCGGAUCUUUAAGUCGGGGGUGAAAGCCCAGGGCUCAACCCUGGAAUUGCCUUCGAUACUGGAGAUCUUGAGACCGGAAGAGGUAAGUGGAACUGCGAGUGUAGAGGUGAAAUUCGUAGAUAUUCGCAAGAACACCAGUGGCGAAGGCGGCUUACUGGUCCGGUUCUGACGCUGAGGCGCGAAAGCGUGGGGAGCAAACAGGAUUAGAUACCCUGGUAGUCCACGCCGUAAACGAUGGAUGCUAGCUGUUGGCCGGCUUGCCGGUCAGUAGCGCAGCUAACGCUUUAAGCAUCCCGCCUGGGGAGUACGGUCGCAAGAUUA
This 370-nucleotide ribosomal RNA is filed under the name uncultured organism. RNAcentral's name for it is "bacterial SSU rRNA". It matches the Rfam family "Bacterial small subunit ribosomal RNA", at positions 526 to 896 of the family's 1533-position model. The record is from RNAcentral.